Molecule: ribosomal RNA, 542 nt
Filed under: uncultured bacterium
Lineage: Bacteria
Description: partial 16S ribosomal RNA
Rfam family: Bacterial small subunit ribosomal RNA
Source: RNAcentral
UGGGGAAUCUUAGACAAUGGGGGAAACCCUGAUCUAGCCAUGCCGCGUGAGCGAUGAAGGCCUUAGGGUUGUAAAGCUCUUUCAGCUGGGAAGAUAAUGACGGUACCAGCAGAAGAAGCCCCGGCUAACUCCGUGCCAGCAGCCGCGGUAAUACGGAGGGGGCUAGCGUUGUUCGGAAUUACUGGGCGUAAAGCGCACGUAGGCGGAUUAGUCAGUCAGAGGUGAAAUCCCAGGGCUCAACCCUGGAACUGCCUUUGAUACUGCUAGUCUUGAGGUCGAGAGAGGUGAGUGGAAUUCCGAGUGUAGAGGUGAAAUUCGUAGAUAUUCGGAGGAACACCAGUGGCGAAGGCGGCUCACUGGCUCGAUACUGACGCUGAGGUGCGAAAGCGUGGGGAGCAAAACAGGAUUAGAUACCCUGGUAGUCCACGCCGUAAACGAUGAAUGCCAGUCGUCGGGUUGCAUGCAAUUCGGUGACACACCUAACGGAUUAAGCAUUCCGCCUGGGGAGUACGGUCGCAAGAUUAAAACUCAAAUGAAUUGAC